UGGGGAAUCUUGCACAAUGGAGGGAACUCUGAUGCAGCGACGCCGCGUGAACGAAGAAGGCUUUCGAGUCGUAAAGUUCUUUUAUAUGGGAAGAUAAUGACGGUACCAUAAGAAAAAGCCCCGGCUAACUACGUGCCAGCAGCCGCGGUAAUACGUAGGGGGCUAGCGUUGUCCGGAAUCACUGGGCGUAAAGGGUUCGCAGGCGGAAAUGCAAGUCAGGUGUAAAAGGCAGUAGCUUAACUACUGUAAGCAUUUGAAACUGCAUAUCUGGAGAAGAGUAGAGGUAAGUGGAAUUUUUAGUGUAGCGGUGAAAUGCGUAGAUAUUAAAAAGAAUACCGGUGGCGAAGGCGGCUUACUGGGCUCAUUCUGACGCUGAGGAACGAAAGCGUGGGUAGCAAACAGG
Molecule: ribosomal RNA, 403 nt
Filed under: bacterium
Lineage: Bacteria
Description: partial 16S ribosomal RNA
Rfam family: Bacterial small subunit ribosomal RNA
Source: RNAcentral